Molecule: microRNA, 21 nt
Filed under: Manihot esculenta (cassava)
Lineage: Eukaryota; Viridiplantae; Streptophyta; Magnoliopsida; Malpighiales; Euphorbiaceae
Description: mes-miR535c
Gene: mes-miR535c
Source: miRBase by way of RNAcentral
UUGACGACGAGAGAGAGCACA